AACAAAGCUCACAAGAACUCACAGAUGCCACAGCAAAAAGGACAAGGCAUGCAGGAAUCCGCACCAUGUACUCUGUAUAUUUUAUUUUAAUAUUUUUGUGGGACUCUUGAACAUGAGAUUCGGGAGCCUCCAAUUCUUGUGCUUUCUCUUGAGUCUCUUUUCCUUCUGUUGGUUUGCCUUGUCCAAUUUCAAUGAGAUCGAUCUUCUCUUAUAGUAUUUCCAUUUUACUAUAAAACACAAAAUCUAGAGAACUUCCCCCGACAAGCAGAAUGACUAAGUAGAGGCACAGUAUGGUGGAGCACUGUAAAUGGGGUGAGAAUAAAAGCAGGGAAGAAAAUAAAUAGUGAAAAGGAUGGAUGGAAUUAAUUUAAAUAAGGCUUUGAGCAAAUCCUCUUUUGAGGGGUUAUAGUAUAGCCAUGAAAAUAUCUGGAGGCAAGGAUUUCAGACAAAAAGCAGAGUUUAGUGCUCAGGUGAAUUUUAGAAGCGUGAUGAUAAGAGGGACAGGGAAGGUUAAAGAGCAAAUGAAGGACAAAGCCUUGUUGGACCUUGCUGUCCACUCUCAGCUGCUUGAAUGAGAUAGUAGCCACUGAAGACCUCGACAAGUGUAAUGAGAUUUGACUUCUAUUUUAAUGGGACCAUCUGAUUUCUCUGUGGAGUCUUCUCUUUCUAAAAAAGGACAGUGAAGGCAUAAAAAGGAGUCAAAAGGCUUUUUACUAUAUCCAAGUGAGUUUAACAGUAGUCUUUGUCAUGAUGAUAGCAAGGGGAACAGUGAAAAAUGUUCAACAAUAACGUGUAUUUUAUUUAUUUUUAAAAUUCAUUAAUUAAUUUCAAUUUACAUCUGCGCAUGUGCUUGAGUGUUUAUGCAUCAUGUGCACACAGGAGCCCACACAGGUUAGAGUAGAUGUUGGAUAUGUCACAACAGAAAGAUUUGAGCUUUCAUGGGGUGCUGGGAAUUGAACCCAUGUCUUCCCCAGGAUCUGCAAGUGUCCUUAACAGCUGAGACAUGUCUCCAACUGUUAAUGCUAAGAGUACAAGUGUGUGUGUGCGUGUCAGUGUUAAAGAUAAAACAGUGAGGGCCCAAGCUGUGGACAUGAGCAACUAGAAACUUCUAUUGGCAUUGAUACUAAAGGGAUGAAGUCAUGGAAAAGCUAGGAUAAGGUUAUGGAUGGGGCCAAUUUUAGAGAGAAUAUGUGACUCAUCAUGGUCACUGUUGUUACUUUCCUAAAAGCAAAGUGAAAGUGUACCUGAGUCUACAAUUCGGAAAACAAAAUGUAAUAUAUUAAAAUGUUAAUAAGCACAGCUUAUUAACGGUCUAAGGCAGUGACGAAAGUACAGAGAGUAGGAGAAAUGAAUGAGCUGCUUCUCCUUAGGGCAGUCUGCUCUAUUCUUUCCCGUAAUUACAAUUCUGAUGAUAUCUGGACAACAGGGGUUUCUUUGGCAUAAAGCUAUAGCAUCUUCCGCCUAGAGAGAACACACUUAUUUUAGGAGUCAAUUGUGUAGGCAGCACAAUUAAUUAUCUGCAAUGAAAAAAAAAAAAAGAGUCCAGUUGACUAAUGGCCUUACCUUCACAGAGAGAAAGGUGAGAGAUUAAAUGGUCAGGAGUAAAUAUUUUUCUCAGAAAAUAAUGUUGAGGCAAACAAAGGCCCUGGAAGUAUUUACCAUGGAACAUGGUUGUAGUAAUGUCAGCCUCAUAAAUUUUCAAUCAAAUUUACCAGACAUUCAUCAAAAAUUUUUUCAGUGAUACACAUGAUUCUUUUAAUUUUAAUGUAAUAUCAAAUCUUGAUUAAAUUCUUUAGGAAUAAAUGGCAAAAGGUGCAUCAGUGCAUAGUUAAGUGAGGUCCCUGUAGAUUUCAUGACUGCAUGCCAAUUGAAUACUGAAAGGCACCUCCUACG
Molecule: long non-coding RNA, 1893 nt
Filed under: Mus musculus (house mouse)
Lineage: Eukaryota; Metazoa; Chordata; Mammalia; Rodentia; Muridae
Description: long non-coding RNA chr2:67696695-67698588
Source: RNAcentral